Pseudophryne corroboree (corroboree frog) is the source of this 2974-nucleotide long non-coding RNA. RefSeq lists it as uncharacterized. The transcript is spliced from 3 exons. The record is from RefSeq and is a predicted model, not a curated record. NCBI's taxonomy places the organism in Eukaryota, Metazoa, Chordata, Amphibia, Anura, Myobatrachidae.
CCAUAUAUGAUUAUAUAAAUAUAUUUCUUAAUAUACUCAUUUUUACCUUUCUAAACUAUUUGCCUUAGUGUGCCUAUACAAUUAUAAAUGCAUGCAACACAAAAAAAACCUCUCCGCCUUGUCUUAGGCAACAAAUAACCCGGGUACCCUUGUCCUUAUAGUGCACUCGUUGGGGCCCUGGGGUUCCUGAGUUAGAGUUAUAGUAGUAUCUGGAAGGAUAUCUUUUCAUUACAAUGUUGCAAUCCUGCUAUAAAUAGCAAAUCAGGUAGUCUCUACUGAAUAUUAAUGGGGUCUAUGGGCCGAUAUUCCCGUCUGUUGCUCUAACUGUGGACUGAAUAGGCUGUAGAUACUUCCCCUUAAUAAUUUCCGGCACUGUCUUUGAAGUAUCAGUUCUCCCUGGUACAGAAAGGAUAAUACGAGCCUCUGUUUACUGUUGUAGCAUUUUAUAUCCAAUAAAUGAUGACUUGCAGCUAUAUAGAAUUCAGUGUCUGCUAGACUGCGACUGCUACUUACAGUAUGUUUCCUUUCUAGCUGUCCAAAGGGAAGUUUUUAUAUGUAACAAAGUCUUCUGUCUAACUAGUAACCAAAUUGUUUCUCACGGACUGGUGACUGCAGCAGAUGUCCUCUUCUGUACUAAGCAGCCUCCAACAGAUGAUAUAAAUAACAUAUGCAGUAGUAUAUCUAUAUGGGAAGCUGUAACCUUUAAUAUGUCUUACAAUUGUCCAGUAUGUCACGUAUAGCAAAGGCUUCAGCAGUAUGGUAUCUCGGCCAAUAUGCUAUAUAACGGUUACUAUUAAUGUAUUCAAUCCUUUCACUAAAUAUCAGCAUCGUUUUAUAAUACUGUAUAAUUGAAUUCAGCAGCUGUAUAACUGAUUCUGCUAUAAGCAAUGCCUGUAGCUAAGGUUAUAUGUCCCACUCCUGUAACUACAUUGAUACGUGUCAUGCAGCUGGGGUUGUAUAGUGCAUAGUGGGAGUUUACUUAACCCCACUUCUCAGCUGCUGCGCUCCCUCUGCGACUAGGCCACUCCCCCAACUCUAUGCUGAAUGGCUGCUCCGGAGGGAUGGUCACUCACCCAGUCAUACCACACUGAAUUUGGGUCUAUGGGUCUGUGCUGUAGCCUAGCCCCUUCGAUUCCUCAGGGAGGCUGUCCCUACUUCUACCAGCCGCUGAAUUGGAGGAUCGACUUGCCUGACCGGCGCUCCAGCCCUCCACACCAUCACUCUCCUGGCCUCCUAUGCAAUCAGCGCUGGCAGAGAGAGGUAAGGUGCUGUCAGUCCUGGACUGUAGUCUCUCCUCACCCAUGCGUCAACCACCGUGAAAGCUCCCGGUGUCAGCGAUUCCCACACUUCACCGAACUGGUUUAGACGGGGGUCACCUCCUUUACUGGUGAGAGAUCCCCCUGUCCUCCAUCACUGCUCCUCAUUCUUUCACAGGCUACCGACUCUCCCCCAACUGCCGCACCAGCAGCCCCUUUUAUAACCUCCUCUCUAACUACUUGUGACUCCUGCUCCCCGGCUAUGGCAUGCAGGUACUGCUGCCGUGGGGACAGUCUAGCAGCUUCUUCCCCCUCCACUGUAUUAUAGCAUACAAAUUACAUUAUCAACAUUACACAUACACACAUACUGAUAUAGCUCCCUAAUAGUAACCAGGGAUUAUAUUCACGAGGCCAGAACCUCCGUGAUUUGUUGGUAAAAACUGAUGUGGCAAAAUUAAAGAGAGAACCUGCAGGCAAAAGGUUGUUCUUGCCUUCUUUAAUAAAAUUAGGUAAUAUCAAAUAUUCUUUUGUUACGUGCCAAUAUCUCCUUGAAGGUGACUUUUUUAAUCAUCCCCAUACGGGGCAAAAAAUCCCCAUUAAGCAUCAGCUGACAUGCAACUCAAAUUUUGUUAUUUAUCAAAUCAUUUGCCCAUGUGGCUUGAGCUACAUCAGCAAAACUGAGCAAAAGUUCAAAGAAAGGAUGUCAGCUCACAGAUCAGCCAUCCGAAAUGCCCUGGACACGGGAGAUAGUGAACAGCCCGUUGCCUGGCAUUUUGCCCAUUUUAAACAUCCAGUACAUAGCAUCAGAUAUAGAAUGAUAGACUGUGUUCUGGGAGAUAUGAGAGGAGGCAAUAGAGGUGCAAAAUUAUUACAAUUAGAAACAAAAUGUAUAUUGCGCCUGGGUGUAAUACACCCUAGAGGUCUCAAUGAAACAGUCUCAUAGCCAUGUUUUUUUUAAAUGAAACAGUUAGUGAUACUUGCCAACGGUAAUCGUAAAACAGCAUAUAUAAGUAUUGGCCAUGAUAUGGACAACAAUUGUAGCAGGCAUGCUUUGAUGCUGUGUAACAAUGUGCAAAAUGUGUAGAAGAUAACUAUGUAGCUGUUAACUAUCUGCUAUCAUAUUGUUUCAGCAAGCUUUAGUGUUUACUGCAUGUAACUUUGGUUGUUAUGGUGAUGGGUGGCUAUUGCACGGCGCCGUCGCUUGACGAUGACGUCACGUCUUAUGCAGCUCGGCGGGUGAGCGGCCCCGGACAAGCUGGCGGGAAUGCACAUAGGGUGAUACUAUAAAGCGCAUAAUUGUGUUUUGAAUGUUCCCUGCCCCUUUCAACUGCCCAGUCUACGACAGCACAAGUCCCAGCUGAAGAUGGGGCAAGAGCAGCGUUGGGUGUUGUAGAUGUUCAUGUGAUCAGGAAGCAGCUCCAGGAGUCCCUGGCCAAGGAGCUUGGCCAAAACACAAUUUGCUGGGCAGCCUCCAACACAGUGUAUCCAAUACAUUGAACCUUAUUUUGCAAUUUUAAUUUAUUUCCAUUUUUAUGGAACAUGUUUGAGACCCAAUUAUGUGGCACUUUUAUGUUUGUUUUUAUAACUAAAUGUGUAUAUUGUUUAAAUUUAGAAUGUGCUGUGUUUUUAUGAAUACUAUGUAAGUGUGUGUGUGUGUGUGUGUGUGUGUGUGUGUGUGUGUGUGUGUGUGUGUGUGUGUGUGUGUGUGUGUGUGUAUA